Pimephales promelas (fathead minnow) is the source of this 843-nucleotide non-coding RNA. The record is from RefSeq and is a predicted model, not a curated record. Lineage: Eukaryota; Metazoa; Chordata; Actinopteri; Cypriniformes; Leuciscidae.
UUAGAGGCAUUUUACAUAUUAUACUUUAAAGGAUUGGAGUCUAACGUAGAAAUAGAAACCUAGUCCAAACCAUCUCUGUAAAAUAAAUUAUUAAAAUAAUGCUUUAAAACUGGGAAAUGAUGCAAACGCUGAGGAAAGUAACAGGUGUCACGUGACGGACGUGUCGGGCUCGUUGCCUUGCGCGUGGCCGUGGCGUCAAGAUCUUUUAUUUAUGAUUAUCUGUAAUUUAAACAUCUGCUGGACUUCUCUUUUGGUCCUCCUGACCCUUGUAAUAUUGUUUGCAAUGUCCUCAGACGCCGAUGAAAAAUAUGUGUCUGUAGAUUUUGAGGUGUUCGGGAAUGUUCAGGGUGUUUGCUUCAGAAUGUACACAGAAGAAGAGGGGAAGAAUCUAGGCGUCACGGGCUGGGUGAAGAACACUAGACAGGGCACUGUGGUCGGACAGGUGCAGGGGCCGCCAGAGAAAGUCAACGAAAUGAAGCACUGGCUCAGUAAAGUGGGCAGUCCCAGCUCUCGAAUCGACCGCGCUCAGUUCUCCAACGAGAGACGCAUCUCUAAACUGGAGAUCCGAGGAUUCGGCACUCGAUACUGAUACCCUACCCAGUCCCAUCGGCACCGGCAAUCACUAAACUCAAACACUGGCCAGAUCUUCACUGACAACUUCCCCAAAGCAAAACACAAACACAGUCGUGAUUUUAUCUGAUCCAUCCAUUCAAACGCAACAAGAUAAAACAAUAUCGAAUAUUGAACUGGAUUGUUAUCCUAUAAAGUAUUAUAUAUUUAUAAAUCUAAUUUUUUGUACAAAUUCAGCUUUGAAUCACAGGAAUAAAUUACACGUCACUAUAU